UCAACGAGUCUGCUCUGCUUGUUUUUUGUUAAAAGUUUCUCGGAUUAUUAUAGUGAGUGGUGCUUUUUGUGUGUAUCCUUUUGGAUAAAGAAAGACAGCGGAAAGACAGAGAGAGAGAGAGAGAGCAGCAUUGGAAAGGCAUGCAUUUUGGCUACAGAAUGACAGAGACAUGGAAACCAAAAACAAGGCAUACGAAGGGCAGUUGAAAGUCUAACCAGGACAGAAAGGCAUGAAUUUCGGCUACAGAGGCAUGAAGUUCAAAACAAGAUAACAGAAUGACAGAGACACGAAGAAAGAAGGCAUACGAAGGGUAAGUUGCUAGAUUUUUCUGCAUUUCAGAUCGCGUCGUUUGUACCGAUUCAAUACACAGUUAAAUAUGCUGGCUUGAUAAGGUACCCGUGUCGUGUAGGGGUCUAUCUUAAACGAUUACCUAAGGGUAAUCAUUGGAUUUUUCCUUGCCAACGAAAAAAGG
Anoplophora glabripennis (Asian longhorned beetle) is the source of this 472-nucleotide long non-coding RNA. RefSeq lists it as uncharacterized. The record is from RefSeq and is a predicted model, not a curated record. The transcript is spliced from 3 exons. Lineage: Eukaryota; Metazoa; Arthropoda; Insecta; Coleoptera; Cerambycidae.